This 71-nucleotide transfer RNA is filed under the name Loxodonta africana (African savanna elephant). It matches the Rfam family "tRNA". From Rfam's summary of the family: Transfer RNA (tRNA) molecules are approximately 80 nucleotides in length. Their secondary structure includes four short double-helical elements and three loops (D, anti-codon, and T loops). The record is from Rfam by way of RNAcentral. Lineage: Eukaryota; Metazoa; Chordata; Mammalia; Proboscidea; Elephantidae.
GCAGUGGUGGUUCAGUGGUAGAAUACUUGUCUUCCAUGCAGAAGACCUGGGUUUGAUUCCUGGGCAAUGCA